Molecule: ribosomal RNA, 497 nt
Filed under: uncultured bacterium
Lineage: Bacteria
Description: partial 16S ribosomal RNA
Rfam family: Bacterial small subunit ribosomal RNA
Source: RNAcentral
GACGAACGCUGGCGGCGUGCCUAAUACAUGCAAGUCGAGCGAUCAAGCUUGGUGCUUGCUCCAAUUUGAAUAGCGGCGGACGGGUGAGUAACGCGUGGGGAAUCUGCCUUUGAGCGGGGGACAACAUUUGGAAACGAAUGCUAAUACCGCAUAAUAACUUUAAACAUAAGUUUUAAGUUUGAAAGAUGCAAUUGCAUCACUCAAAGAUGGUCCCGCGGUGUAUUAGCUAGUUGGUGAGGUAAAGGCUCACCAAGGCGAUGGUACAUAGCCGACCUGAGAGGGUGAUCGGGCAAAUUGGGACCGGGACAACGGCCAAGACCCCUCGGGGGGGAGCCGGAGGGGAUUUUUGGGCAAGGGGGGGAGGCUGAACGAAGCAAGCCGGGGGGGUGGAGAAGGUUCUCGGGUCGUAAAAAUCUGUUGGUAGGGAAGAAAGAUGGGGAGAGUGGAAAGCUCAUGAAGUGACGGUAACUACCCAGAAAGCGACGGCUAACUACGUG